GCACGCUGCAUAGCUCAGCUGGUUAGAGCGUGGUGCUGAUAACACCAAGAUUGCAGGUUCAGUCCCCGUAAGGGACGGCUGCA
Podarcis lilfordi (Lilford's wall lizard) is the source of this 83-nucleotide non-coding RNA. The record is from the annotation of a GenBank genome assembly. NCBI's taxonomy places the organism in Eukaryota, Metazoa, Chordata, Lepidosauria, Squamata, Lacertidae.